CCUACGGGAGGCUGCAGUAGGGAAUAUUGCUCCAUGGGGGAAACCCUGAAGCAGCAACGCCGCGUGGAGGAUGAAGGUUUUCGGAUUGUAAACUCCUUUUGUUAGAGAAGAUAAUGACGGUCUCUAACGAAUAAGCACCGGCUAACUCCGUGCCAGCAGCCGCGGUAAUAAGGAGGGUGCAAGCGUUACUCGGAAUAACUGGGCGUAAAGAGCGCGUAGGCGGGAUAGCCAGUCAGAUGUGAAAUACUAUGGCGUAACCAUAGAACUGCAUUUGAAACUGUUAUUCUAGAGUAUGGGAGAGGUAGGUGGAAUUCUUGGUGUAGGGGUAAAAUCCGUAGAGAUCAAGAGGAAUACUCAUUGCGAAGGCGACCUGCUAGAACAUAACUGACGCGGAUGCGCGAAAGCGUGGGGAGCAAACAGGAUUAGAUACCCGGGUAGUC
This 440-nucleotide ribosomal RNA is filed under the name uncultured bacterium. Its description in RNAcentral is "partial 16S ribosomal RNA". It matches the Rfam family "Bacterial small subunit ribosomal RNA", at positions 338 to 795 of the family's 1533-position model. The record is from RNAcentral.